GUUGGGACGAAAUAAAAUGCGGGAAAGAAACCAAACCAAACCAAACGCCCGUCCUCAAUCCGAGCCCUCCCCAUCCUCGAUUCACCUCUCUCAAAUCUCAAUCUUUGCGUCGUCUCCGUCGUCCCCUAGCCGACCUCGUCGCCGCUCCUCCUCUACCACAACGCCUUGCCCCUCCUCCCAAAGUCUCGCGCCACCCCUGUCUCCCCGCGCCUCCGUGAAAUCCUAGCGGAGAUAUGGACCGGCGUUGAGCACCUCCGCCCGGUGCUGGCCGCCUGGCUAGGCCUAGCCGCGCCGUACGAAGCUGUCAGGGGACGUCAACCGCAGCGGCCGGAGCUGCACGAGCCGUCGGUGGCCAUGGCGACGGCAUGGCGUCUAAGAACCAGUGGCGGGAGAUCUCGAUUUCAUCCUCGUCGAGCUCGCCAGACCAUUCGAAGGAGAACCAAGGCCGGAAUCCCCCAGCUGUUGCCCGUGUGUGGUCGCGUGCAGAGGUCGCCGUCCGGUGCUGCUGCUGGUGGUUGACGCCGACGCCGACGCCGAUGAAGCACAAGGGGACGGCUACCUGUACAUGCUCAACCAGAAGGAGGAGCUCGCCUAGACCGACCCCGACCACCACCACGAUGCCCAUGCCCCAAACGUCCUCUCUUUUUUCCCCUCCUGUCAUGCUCUUACUCGUUAUUAUGCAACGAGUGGAUAUGCAGCUAGCUAGCUAGCUGUUUGACUUUUAUCAGGAGAGAGUCGAGCUAGUUGGAGCUGGCAAGGAGGUAUCCAUGGCUGCUGGAUCCAGCCGUCAGGCAGGGGUGACCUUCUUCUUUGACUCGGUGUGGUGGCUUGCUGUGGUGCUCCUCCUCGACUUGGUGGUGGUGGUGUUCAUGGAGGUAGUUAUGCAACACAGUUGACACUUGACUCCUUCAUCGUGCUCCUGACACGCAAUGGCGGCUGUAGCUCAGGUGGUUCCCAUUCGGUAAGCAUUCUGUGAGUUUGCCCUGUGAGCUGUGAGCUGUGUCCUUUGGUGAUCUCGAUUGGUAACCUGGCCUAUGAUCCAUCGUGUUGAUCUGUUAAGUUCGGAUUUGCUCACUUAGCUACUGUUUGUGUUGUACAAUAUUUUCUGCGUAUGUUUGAUGAAAUUGUGCUAUAUCAAGGUGAAUUUAUAGUGUUACCAUGCUAAAAUUUGAAUAUGAAUCACAAUUUAGAGGCUUUACUAGUUUAGAUUCUAUAUAAGCUCGGUUGAUUAAAAUUUACUCAAGGUUGUUUAAUUACAGCUUAAAUUGAGUGGAGUUUUAAUAUUUAAGUACGAUACUGUUAUUAUCCACUGCCCUGGAGGAUUUAAUCACAGAGCAUUUUAAUAACUGGAUGAUUUGGUUCUGGUUUGCAUGAUUGGAUUGCUUUAGAUUGUUCAAACGCAUGUUUAGCUUCAGUUUAUGGAUGUAUGGUCCUCUCGUUGGCUAUAACUGAAUGCUAAGUAUCACUUGAGUUCUAACUCAGUCUUGGGGAAUUUGGUUCAUGGCUGACCAUCAUUUUUUUUGGUUUCUUUUUGGAGGACAACAAGGAGGACAGAGGGUAGCGGCUGGAACCUGUUGGAGCAUCCAUCACUUGGAAGGAAAACAAGUGUAGACACCACCAUGUGCCUUGGUCUGUGAUGACAUAUGGUCACAAUGCCUCCCGAUAUUUUGGAUCCGAAAGAAGUACCGUAACACAAGAAUUCAUGUGUUGUAAUAACUGGCCUAGGAUGGGAUUCCAGAAAUUUGAUGUGCUUCAGCAUUUGCUGAUGCUUGUUGUUUGGUGUUGGGGGAAAUUCUGGGUGAUUGUAUGUUUGAAUGUCCCGUGGGUAUGUGCUAUUGUCUAAGUUGAUGUAUAGUCUCUGCUAUGCAGGUUUUGAUGUCCAAAAAGAGAAGGUCAUGCUGAAUUUUCAGUAGCUGGCUGGUGCUGUUAGUGCUGCUAGUUGUUGGGCAUGCUGCGCAUCAUGUAUGGGUGGAGUUCCCCUUGCUGUAUGUUGUUUGUUAUCUUGAAUGUAUGGUGGAGUUUCUGGAUU
Lolium perenne is the source of this 2029-nucleotide long non-coding RNA. RefSeq lists it as uncharacterized. Lineage: Eukaryota; Viridiplantae; Streptophyta; Magnoliopsida; Poales; Poaceae. The record is from RefSeq and is a predicted model, not a curated record.